UAAUCAAAUGUGUCUAAGAAUCGUUGGUUUUUAGUAACACAUACUCCUCCUCUAAAGUAAUUCAACUAAAUAAUCAAAUACUUGAAGAUGAGUCGUCGAACAGCGUCGUGGCAGCCCAACGUCCCAGAUUUUGAUGAGGUCGCGGCUCGCGUAGAUGCUCUCACACGAAACUGAUCUUUCUUCUUCAGUUACCAUUCGUGUCUGUGUAUCUGAAUGAUUUCUUUGUAAACCGAAAGUGAUGAUUCAAAAAAAGCUUAGUUUUAUUUUAUUUAAAAAAAAAAAAGAAGUUAAAAAUACCCCCAGCGAUCCCUAGAUCUGCACGAAGAACCCUAACAAUUGACGAAUUCAACUAGUUUUUUUCUCGAGCAUAAGAUCGAUGGAGGAUUCAGAGAUUGAUCAUGUGAUGAGCGAGAUUCAUCUGGGUUGCCCACCCGCCACUAUCGGACCCUUUCUUUCCCACUUCACCUUCUCUUCUUAUCCACUACUCGAUUCCUCCAAUGAUCAGUCGAUGACUAUUAGUGUUGAUAAAGAUGGUGACCUUCUUCUUCCUAGGCGGCGGCGAAGAACCAGCCCAACCUCUCACUCUCAUGGGUCGUUUACUGUCACCAUUCAGCAUUCUAUCACAUCAACUCUCCCUGAUGUUGGUCUGCAGGUCUGGAAAUCAGAACUCGUCUUAUCAGAUUUUGUAUUGCAUAACAUGUCUCUACUCAAUGGCCUUGUGUGCCUUGAACUCGGUGCUGGAACAGGGCUGCUCGGUAUAUUGCUUGCACGGGUGGCCAAGGCUGUUUUCCUUACUGACCACGGAGACCAAAUUCUUGGCAACUGUCUUCGGAACAUGGAAUUGAAUUCUUCCCUCUUUCACCCUCAAGCUAUUGUAAAUGUUCGUGACCUCAACUGGAUGAGCGAAUGGCCUGUUGAAGUUACCCAUGCUGAUCCAAAACCGUUUUGUUGGAGCUUGCAGGACUUUGAACAAGUCAAAAGUGCUAGCUUCAUUUUUGCAGCAGAUGUGAUCUACAGCGAUGAUCUAACCAUCGCCUUGUUCAGCAUGUUAAAGAGAGUCAUGUCCUUGGGUUGUGACAAGGUACUAUAUCUGGGUUUGGAGAAAAGAUACAACUUCAGCCUAGACGAUCUCAACGUUGUUGCCAAUGGCUACGCAUGCUUCAGAAGAUAUAUCAAAGAAGACGCCCUUUGCGACCAUUCUGACAAGAAGAGUAGUUUUGUGGGCAAGCGCAUUGACCUCAAACAAAUCCCUCAGUACACCAAGGGCUACGAGAGAGGAGAAGAUGUCGAGCUUUGGGAGAUCAGAUAUGUACGUUAACACUCUAAUGAAGGAAGGAUCCAUCAUUUCAUUUGCUUGUAACAACAACAGUUCAGAAAGAGGCACCACCUUAAGUGGGAUUCUCUGACGUCAGCUGCCUCACCAUAUGCUUUGUCAGUGUCCGUCCAUCUUAGUAGUUUCCUCCGCUUGUUCUUUUGAGACGGGAAGUACAACUUCUUCAUCUUCCAAAACCUGCAACUAGGGGAAGAGUAAAAUAUAAACAUAAAUUAAAGGAUGUACAAGUUGUAUACUUGGAUUGGAACCUGGAGUUUCAGAUUCCGAUAUAAAGAAAGCUUAUAGAAGGCUGUCCAUCCAAUACCAUCCUGAUAAAAAUCCAGAUCAAGAGGCCAACAAAUAUUUUUGUGGAGUCCAUUUCUAAAGCAUACCAGGCUUUG
Brassica napus (rape) is the source of this 1713-nucleotide RNA transcript. It is a transcript of the gene named methyltransferase-like protein 22, with no coding region annotated. The record is from RefSeq and is a predicted model, not a curated record. Lineage: Eukaryota; Viridiplantae; Streptophyta; Magnoliopsida; Brassicales; Brassicaceae. The transcript has 11 exons.